This 401-nucleotide ribosomal RNA is filed under the name uncultured bacterium. Its description in RNAcentral is "bacterial SSU rRNA". It matches the Rfam family "Bacterial small subunit ribosomal RNA", at positions 355 to 773 of the family's 1533-position model. The record is from RNAcentral.
UCGGGAAUUUUGGGCAAUGGGCGAAAGCCUGACCCAGCAACGCCGCGUGAGGGAUGAAGUAUUUCGGUAUGUAAACCUCGAAAGAAUGGGAAGAAUAAAUGACGGUACCAUUUAUAAGCUCCGGCUAACUACGUGCCAGCAGCCGCGGUAAUACGUAGGGAGCAAGCGUUGUUCGGAUUUACUGGGCGUAAAGGGCGCGUAGGCGGCGCGGUAAGUCACUUGUGAAAUCUCUGAGCUUAACUCAGAACGGCCAAGUGAUACUGCUGUGCUAGAGUGCGGAAGAGGAAACCAGAAUUCUUGGUGGAGCGGUGAAAGGCGUAGAUAUCAAGAGGAACACCUGAGGCGAAGGCGGGUUGCUGGGCCGACACUGACGCUGAUGCGCGAAAGCCAGGGGAGCAAAC